Long non-coding RNA from Oreochromis aureus, 1452 nucleotides. The record is from Ensembl. Lineage: Eukaryota; Metazoa; Chordata; Actinopteri; Cichliformes; Cichlidae.
UGCUAUUCAAAUUAGCCACACCGUGGGAUGUAAGGAGCUCUCUGAUUGGCUGGUCAGACACAGGCUGUCUGCCAGCCUGGAUUUUUCUAGCUCAUAGCUUCGCCCUGCUACGAAGCGUGUGUGCUUGUACAAAGGCCGUUCAGCGUCGGGAUUUACACUCGGCUCGACACGGAUAUGUGAAGAAUGAAGGGAGCCUGCAGCGAAACGGAGAGCUAACCUCUGACUGAGUGCCCGUUUACUCAGUCUGACCACCUGUUGAAGGGCUGUUUGAUGACGAUUUGGACUCCUCUGGGUGAUGAGGACACACCCACAUCUGUUCCAUACUGCAGCCAUGGAUGGUGUUACAGCUCUGAGUCAGCUUUGGGCCAUCAGAUGCACACACUGGAAAACCAGCGCCUGUACUUCAUGCAGGAGAGAUGACCUCAGUGAUAAUUCAUCAGCAGCUGUGAAGAGAUGUAUUUGAAUAUCUUCUGGUUCCACUUUUCUUAACCUGGAAGCUGAGGAUGGCUAAUUCCUGACAAGGACACACACCUCAGCGCUUAUCAUGGGUGUUACAUCCUCUGCGCAGCAAUUCCAGAGAAAACGAGAGAGCAACGACCACACAUUAAGACCAGACAGAAAUCUGUCACUUUCUGGCAGCUGUGAAAACUUCCAAUAAGAAAGUUUCUUAGAACAAUGCUGGGUCAUGUGUGAUGUGUCAUAUGAGGAUAUUACAUUUUGACUUAAUUCUGCUCAAUUAAGUGUUUUGUUCGUUGAUCCAAUAUGGCAGCUUUUUAUUGUGCUCCAAGUUAAAACUCAUUGUCCUCAUGAGCACAGCAUCUAACAACUCUCCUUAAAAAAGUCGAUUGACUUUAACUGGACACAAUGGUUUCCAGUGGGAGAUACAUUCAUCACUCAUCCGUGACACUGGAGAAGUCACCUGAGUGAGUGAUAAAGCAAUUUUCCAUGGAAAAUCCAGAGGAACUAAACUUUGUUGUUGUUUCUUUGGGCUCAAUUUCAGCUCUAGCAGCAUCUCUCAGAAGAAAACCGUUUUGCAAAUAAUCAGAUAAAAAGAUUGUUGAACUAGGUGGUAUUCUCUGGAGUUUAAGACCAAAACUGAACUCAAACAGUGAAUUGACAUUAGACUGGAAUUCAUAAGAUGAAUAGAAAUACUGCUGAAGCUGAAUGAUUCAUUCAUGUAUAUAUAUGACUUUUUUUCCCCCCAAUUCACCAGGUCUGUAAAGUUCAGUAUGACUGUGGUACAUGAUACAAAAGAAUAAAUACAGAAGAAUAAAAACUUUAUGUGAAUAACUUUACUCUUCUUAAAAAUAACUCAUAAAACAAGUAAAAGUACAAAUGUGUACAAGUUAGAGACUUCCUCAGUAAGUUUACACUCUUUUGGAGUGAUUUUAAUUGUGUGUUAAAGAGAAAGAGAUUAGGAGGUAAAGUAGAGGAUGCAGAGUCAAUCAUCAC